AAUGAACGCUGGCGGCGUGGAUAAGACAUGCAAGUCGAACGAAAAGUUUAUUAGUUUACUAAUUAAACUUUUAGUGGCGGACGGGUUAGUAACACGUGAGCAACCUACCUUGAAGAGGGGGAUAGUCCUGGGAAACUGGGUUUAAUACCGCAUAAUCUCUACGGAGAAAAGAUGGCUUCGGCUAUCGCUUUAAGCUGGGCUCGCGUCCUAUCAGCUAGUUGGUGAGGUAACGGCUCACCAAGGCGACGACGGGUAGCUGUUCUGAGAGGAAGAUCAGCAACACUGGAACUGAGACACGGUCCAGACACCUACGGGUGGCAGCAGUCGAGAAUCAUUCACAAUGGACGAAAGUCUGAUGGUGCAACGCCGCGUGGAGGAUGAAGGCCUUAGGGUCGUAAACUCCUGUCAUCUAGGAGUAAGUCAUAGAAGUUAAUAACUAUCUAUGAUUGAUAGUACUAGAAGAGGAAGGGACGGCUAACUUCG
RNAcentral lists this ribosomal RNA (483 nucleotides) under uncultured Rubritalea sp. RNAcentral's name for it is "bacterial SSU rRNA". It matches the Rfam family "Bacterial small subunit ribosomal RNA", at positions 29 to 505 of the family's 1533-position model. The record is from RNAcentral. Lineage: Bacteria; Pseudomonadati; Verrucomicrobiota; Verrucomicrobiia; Verrucomicrobiales; Rubritaleaceae.